This is a long non-coding RNA of Hibiscus syriacus, 137 nucleotides long. RefSeq lists it as uncharacterized. The record is from RefSeq and is a predicted model, not a curated record. Lineage: Eukaryota; Viridiplantae; Streptophyta; Magnoliopsida; Malvales; Malvaceae. The transcript is spliced from 4 exons.
UCAUGUAGCAUGAGAUGAUAUUCAGCUGCCUCAUGCUAGUGUUUCAUUUUUGUUUUGGGUUAAUAUGAAAAUUUGGCUCCUUAAUUAUACCAGUUUUAUGGGUUGGUGCCCGUUGAAAAGAAUUAAUAAUUUCAUAU